Molecule: small nuclear RNA, 125 nt
Organism: Piliocolobus tephrosceles (Ugandan red Colobus)
Lineage: Eukaryota; Metazoa; Chordata; Mammalia; Primates; Cercopithecidae
Source: Ensembl
GUGUUGCAUGAAAGGGGAAAAGGUUAGCACUCCCCUCGACAAGGAGGGAAGAGGCCCUUGGGCCUGAGAAUAUGCAUAGGUUCAAGCAUUGCCACCUAUUUUGUGGCAUCUAACUAUCGUCUUUU